CGUAGGGGGCGAGCGUUGUCCGGAUUUACUGGGCGUAAAGCGCGUGUAGGCGGCCGUUUAAGUUGGGUGUGAAAGCCCGGGGCUCAACCCCGGGACGCCGCCCAAGACUGGACGGCUUGAGGACGGAAGAGGGGAGUGGAAUUCCAGGUGUAGCGGUGAAAUGCGUAGAGAUCUGGAGGAACACCCGUGGCGAAGGCGGCUCCCUGGUCCGUCCCUGACGCUGAGACGCGAAAGCGCGGGGAGCGAACGGGAUUAGAUACCCCGGUAGUCCGCGCCGUAAACGAUGGUCACUAGGUGUGCGAGGUAUCGACCCCUCGCGUGCCGGCGCUAACGCAUUAAGUGACCCGCCUGGGGAGUACGGCCGCAAGGUUG
Molecule: ribosomal RNA, 372 nt
Filed under: uncultured organism
Description: bacterial SSU rRNA
Rfam family: Bacterial small subunit ribosomal RNA
Source: RNAcentral